This 392-nucleotide ribosomal RNA is filed under the name uncultured bacterium. RNAcentral's name for it is "partial 16S ribosomal RNA". It matches the Rfam family "Bacterial small subunit ribosomal RNA", at positions 523 to 918 of the family's 1533-position model. The record is from RNAcentral.
AUACGGAGGAUCCGAGCGUUAUCCGGAUUUAUUGGGUUUAAAGGGUGCGCAGGCGGCCAUUUAAGUCAGCGGUUAAAUCGUGGGGCUCAACCCCAUUCUGCCGUUGAUACUGGGUGGCUUGAUUGCGGUCGAGGUUGGCGGAAUUCGUUGUGUAGCGGUGAAAUGCAUAGAUAUGACGAAGAACACCGAUUGCGUGGGCAUCAGACCAGACCGCAAAAGUCGCUCAUGCACGAAAGUGCGGGGAACGAACAGGAUUAGAUUCCCUGGUUGACCGCACAGGAAACGAUGAAUACUUGUUUUCGGCGAUAUAAUGUCGGAGGCAAAGCGAAAGCGAUAAGUAGUCCACCUGGGGAGUACGCCGGCAACGGUGAAACUCAAAGGAAUUGACGUGG